RNAcentral lists this ribosomal RNA (451 nucleotides) under uncultured bacterium. Its description in RNAcentral is "partial 16S ribosomal RNA". It matches the Rfam family "Bacterial small subunit ribosomal RNA", at positions 28 to 523 of the family's 1533-position model. The record is from RNAcentral.
GACGAACGCUGGCGGCGUGCUUAACACAUGCAAGUCGAACGGGUGCAGCAAUGCAUCAGUGGCAGACGGGUGAGUAACACGCGGGAACCUUCCUAGGGGUACGGAACAACUCAGGGAAACUUGAGCUAAUACCGUAUACGUCCGUGAGGAGAAAGAUUUAUCGCCCUUAGACGGGCCCGCGUCGGAUUAGCUAGUUGGUGGGGUAACGGCCUACCAAGGCGACGAUCCGUAGCUGAUCUUAGAGGAUGAUCAGCCACACUGGGACUGAGACACGGCCCAGACUCCUACGUGAGGCAGCAGUGGGGAAUAUUGGACAAUGGGCGCAAGCCUGAUCCAGCCAUGCCGCGUGAGUGAUGAAGGCCCUAGGGUUGUAAAGCUCUUUCACCGGUGAAGAUAAUGACGGUAACCGGAGAAGAAGCCCCGGCUAACUUCGUGCCAGCCGCCGCGGUAA